UUUGGCAAUAAGAUGAUAAAGGAUAAGGAAAAACUUAAUGAAAUCCAGUAUAUAGAAGAUAUAAUGUCAGUGGAUAUGUCAGAGAAAACAGGGGAUAAAUCUUGAGGAAAAAGCCGUACAGCUGAGAAAGUGAGAGUUCUCUUGGUACAACUUGCUGCCCAUGGCUGCCUUUCCUCCUCCACCUCUGCUUCCUCCUCAGCUACCACAAGUACUACUACAUUUUCUUCCUCCUCACAAUGCAAGGAUACGUGUGAUUUACCAUAAAUCUUUUGCACUCAAAAAAGUCUGGAAAACAUCAGAUGUGUUAUUUACAGCUGCUUCAAUUUAGGGAGACCAGUUUUCAAUUCAUUGGUUCUCAUGAUUCAAGCUGGUCCACUUAGCAUGCCAAUGCAAAGUCAGAACUGGGUUACAAAAUUCUGUCAUCUCUCUUACUCCACCUCUGGGAGGAAUACUUAAUUCUAGUGCCUUGGCAAACAUUUUGGAUGUUAUCUGUGCUAUUCAGUCUCAUUUUGUCUUAAAUUAUAUUUCCCUGUGAUGUUGGAGGGUCCUCAAGCAUAAAGAAGAAUGGCUGGAUGUAUUCAAGAAUAGCCAAGUGCUGCAGAGCUUGGAGAAUAUCAAAACAUGUGGUAAUGUUGGUAGACAAAGAAAAAUGGGAAUCUCACUUCAAAGAUUCUUUGUUUAAGCUUACGGUUGCACAAACAACAUCUACAAGUCCUAGGUAACAAAGUAGUUAUUGCCCCACAGCUAACCAAAUUUCUGUUCCUAACUAAAACCCUGCCCUAUCUUCCCCAUUGUCUUCAUCUAAAGUGAAUAAGGAUGCUUUAAUCUUGUCUUGCUUCAGCAGCAUAGCAGAUUCAGACCCAACACCAGCUGUUAAGCGUGCACUGAUCGCACAUGCACAGAAUGCUACAUUAUGUGAUGCAAACAAAAACGUUACCAAGUUUUCUAAGACCAGCAUUUAAUGUUCAGGACUUAAGAUUUUCAGCACUGAACAUCCUAAUAACUUCGUUUUGCUCCCUUGAUCCCUGCAAAACUAUUAACCUAACCAACUUCUCAAGAACCUGUCUGCCUAUGUAUGUAUUUCUGAUGCCUUGUUUCCUCCAGAAGUGGCUUCUAAGGAAAUGGCCACAGCAAAACUGCUUCCACUCUCCUUACUGAAACACUGCCUCCUUGCUCAUUCAAGCACUGACUCUGCUAGCAUCUAUUUCGUGUAUUGCUUUACCCAUCUUUACACUUCCAAAGUAUUCAUUAUAAUUGUACCACAUGCUGCCCUCCACCAACAAGCUUCAGGACUGGUAUGAAAGUGGGAUUUUAAGCACUUAACACACUCUCACCUGUACCAUCAACCUUCCAAUAACAUGGGAUGCUAGUGUUCCCUAGAGCCACCCUAUUCUUGGAUGCUGGGUUGCUGCUGGAUCAUUCAGGAAGCAGCAUCAACAGUCAACACUAAGGAAGUGAUGAACAUGUCCAAUCCAGAGAGAAGAAUGACGAUGGAGAGAUGUUGAGGUAUCCUUCACUGAAAUGUUUCCAGAAAAAAAUAGUUACUCUGAAUCACUAUCAACAUGGAAACAAUAUAGCAACAGGAGCAAGACUGAUGGUGGCUGUGGCUGGAGGAGGGAGAGUGCCAGCACACUGCAUUGUGCUUCGGGUGUCAUGUUUAUUCCCAAAGCACAUCACUGCAUCCGCCGUGUGUCGCAACAGACGUCUUACAAGGAAUGAGGUCUGCACAUUGGCAAGGUCACGGCAGUCUGGCAGUCUGGCGUGGCACAACACUGACAUGACGACCAAGGGGAUGUACUAUUUGUUGUGGUUAUUUUGUGAUCUUUGUUAAUACAUUUUACAUAUUUAAUGAAUGAUUGAUCUAUCUACCUACUUAUCUAUCUGUUUAUUUUUAAUGAAGACUAAUACUGGUAAUUUUUUGUUAUGUGUUUUCUUAUGUAAUACUCUCGUGCUCUCUCACGAGGAGAAGAAAAAGACUCGCAAGAACUAAUAAUUCUAUCUACUAUACUAUUAUUCUCUCAUCAAAGAAAAGAAAAUAGCACGUUGCAUAAGAAAAUAAAUCAUACCAUCUA
This is a long non-coding RNA of Scylla paramamosain (green mud crab), 2072 nucleotides long. RefSeq lists it as uncharacterized. The transcript has 5 exons. The record is from RefSeq and is a predicted model, not a curated record. Lineage: Eukaryota; Metazoa; Arthropoda; Malacostraca; Decapoda; Portunidae.